Non-coding RNA from Brachypodium distachyon (stiff brome), 138 nucleotides. The record is from Rfam. Lineage: Eukaryota; Viridiplantae; Streptophyta; Magnoliopsida; Poales; Poaceae.
AAGAUACUCCCUCCGUCCAACAAAAAAUGUCUCAAGUUUUUUCUUAAAAUUUGAAUGUAUCUAUACAUGACUUAGUGUAUAGAUGCAUUCAAAUUUAGUCAAAGUUGAGACAUCCUUUGUUAGACGGAGGAAUACUGA